This 491-nucleotide ribosomal RNA is filed under the name uncultured bacterium. RNAcentral describes it as "bacterial SSU rRNA". It matches the Rfam family "Bacterial small subunit ribosomal RNA", at positions 33 to 507 of the family's 1533-position model. The record is from RNAcentral.
ACGCUGGCGGCGUGCCUAAUACAUGCAAGUCGAGCGGACCAAAGGGAGCUUGCUCCUGGAGGUUAGCGGCGAACGGGUGAGUAACACGUGGGCAACCUGCCUGUAAGACUGGGAUAACAUCGAGAAAUCGGUGCUAAUACCGGAUAAUAAAAAGAACUGCAUGGUUCUUUUUUGAAAGAUGGUUUCGGCUACCACUUACAGAUGGGCCCGCGGCGCAUUAGCUAGUUGGUGAGGUAACGGCUCACCAAGGCGACGAUGCGUAGCCGACCUGAGAGGGUGAUCGGCCACACUGGGACUGAGACACGGCCCAGACUCCUACGGGAGGCAGCAGUAGGGAAUCUUCCGCAAUGGACGAAAGUCUGACGGAGCAACGCCGCGUGAGUGAUGAAGGUUUUCGGAUCGUAAAACUCUGUUGUUAGGGAAGAACAAGUGCCGUUCGAAAGGGCGGCACCUUGACGGUACCUAACGAGAAAGCCACGGCUAACUACGUG